ACUUCCUGAGCCGGAACGAAAAGUCUUUAAGAAUGAGAGUUCUGGAGGGCUUUUGGCUUACGGUUGUGAUGUUGUGUUGUUGUGUUUGCAUUUGGUCUGCGAUUCAGACCAUCGUAGCUAAGCUACUCUUUCACUUCCUGUACAUU
This 146-nucleotide unclassified non-coding RNA is filed under the name Cronobacter sakazakii ATCC BAA-894. RNAcentral's name for it is "GcvB RNA". It matches the Rfam family "GcvB RNA", at positions 1 to 144 of the family's 204-position model. From Rfam's summary of the family: The gcvB gene encodes a small untranslated RNA involved in expression of the dipeptide and oligopeptide transport systems in Escherichia coli. Included several unknown homologues in alignment (Bateman A pers obs). It base-pairs with SorC. The record is from RNAcentral. Lineage: Bacteria; Pseudomonadati; Pseudomonadota; Gammaproteobacteria; Enterobacterales; Enterobacteriaceae.